CUGUUUUUGGUUCAAAUGUUAAACAUUAUUCAUUGAGAAUGUGGAAUUACUUUAGACAGCUUAAAACCUGCAGAUAUGUUUGGCUAUAAUUUGAACACAACAAUUAUUUAUAUUAACAUAUUUUCUCAGGUGUACAAAGCUUAGGAAAUGGCAUGUGAUAUCUUCUUAUGGAUACAUAUUUCAACAUUCCAUCACUUCUGUCAUUAUUAAUAAAAGGAAAUACGUGUCCUUUGCUUUGCCUCUGAUAUACAAAGUGAAUGUGGAAGGAUUUGCACUUAAAGUUUGGGCAGAUUUAUCUUCUAACCAUCUACCGGCAUAAAUUCAUAAAUACUACAGUUUUAUAUGUUUUUAACCUCUAUCCAAAUGAAACUUGAUGGCAUUUCUAUCACCAACACUUAAGGUACACACUGGAUUUAGAGACAACAAGAAAAAGAUGGAAUCACAAAAUUUAAGGAUUUUCCCAUUUGCAUUGAGAGAAGGCAGUUAUACAUAGUGGAGGAUUUCCCAGGAACCAGAGAUGCAAUCAUGAUUUAAAACCAGGUAACACUGUUAGCUCUUAACAUGUAGUUUGCCUAUAUUGUGAUUGGGUUGUUGGUUAGCCGAUAAGUAGAGAUGAAAGUAUGAAUAAUAACAGAGAAUAAUUGGGAUUGAAGACUUAGGAUUACUACACUGUAAACAGUCAGCCCUGUGUAUCACAAAGUAGAAUCACGAAAACGAAACUACAGGCAGUUAGAAAAAAGAUUAUAAGGUGGAAUCUUAGUAUAUUAGACCAUAGGGAGAAAACAACAAAAUUUAUAAGUUAAAAUCAAGACAUACUAGACGGUAGGCAUUGAAUAUCAAGAGUAGUAAGUACAACGUGG
This 860-nucleotide long non-coding RNA is filed under the name Felis catus (domestic cat). RNAcentral describes it as "lncRNA (ENSFCAG00000052501.1)". Lineage: Eukaryota; Metazoa; Chordata; Mammalia; Carnivora; Felidae. The record is from RNAcentral.